RNAcentral lists this ribosomal RNA (253 nucleotides) under uncultured bacterium. RNAcentral's name for it is "partial 16S ribosomal RNA". It matches the Rfam family "Bacterial small subunit ribosomal RNA", at positions 524 to 776 of the family's 1533-position model. The record is from RNAcentral.
UACGUAGGUGGCAAGCGUUGUCCGGAUUUAUUGGGUUUAAAGGGUGCGUAGGCGGCCCUGUAAGUCAGUGAUGAAAUACUCUAGCUUAACUAGAGGGGUGCCAUUGAUACUGCAGGGCUUGAGUACAGACGAGGUAGGCGGAAUUGACGGUGUAGCGGUGAAAUGCAUAGAUAUCGUCAAGGACUCCGAUAGUGAAGACAGCUUACUAGGCUGUAACUGACGCUGAGGCACGAAAGUGUGGGGAUCAAACAGG